Long non-coding RNA from Sciurus carolinensis (gray squirrel), 476 nucleotides. RefSeq lists it as uncharacterized. NCBI's taxonomy places the organism in Eukaryota, Metazoa, Chordata, Mammalia, Rodentia, Sciuridae. The record is from RefSeq and is a predicted model, not a curated record. The transcript has 4 exons.
UCUGAGCCUGUGUGAACUGAGGCUGCUCCUUACACUGGGUCUUCCCCAGCACCUGCUGAGACCCCUGCCGACCUGCAGGGGAAGGAGGGCGAGGAAAACAGAGAGCUUGCAUCUGACAUCAUAGAUCACAAGGGAUUCAGCUCUGGUAACUACCAAGGAAGUUUUCCUUCUUUAAAGAGUAGCCUCUGUUGACUCACAAACCUUCUGUGGAGCAACAGAAGAAGCAAUGAGUUCAAUGAUCUGAAGUUCAGAAGCAGUGUAACUUCGCCUCUGGGAAGACGGCCCUGUGGAAAUGUCCUGUGGGGGCAGAUGCCCCAGACUUGAGGGAUGAGCUUUCCUGACCUUGUUCUGCAUCGUGAGGCCAUGAAAUGGCACUAGCGCUGGGAUGUGAGAGAGAAGACCUGGAUUUCAAUCUUGACUUCGCCAUCCCCCGCUGUUGACCUCUUAGGGACUCAAUUUCUUCAUGGAUAAGCUGG